RNAcentral lists this ribosomal RNA (319 nucleotides) under uncultured Alphaproteobacteria bacterium. RNAcentral describes it as "bacterial SSU rRNA". It matches the Rfam family "Bacterial small subunit ribosomal RNA", at positions 20 to 367 of the family's 1533-position model. The record is from RNAcentral. Lineage: Bacteria; Pseudomonadati; Pseudomonadota; Alphaproteobacteria.
UGGCUCAGAACGAACGCUGGCGGCAGGCUUAACACAUGCAAGUCGAACGCUCGUAGCAAUACGGGAGUGGCAGACGGGUGAGUAACGCGUGGGAACAUACCCUCCGGUUCGGAAUAACUCAGGGAAACUUGAGCUAAUACCGGAUAAUAUCGCGAGAUCAAAGAUUUAUCGCCUUUGGAUGAGCCCGCGUAGGAUUAGCUAGUUGGUGGGGUAAAGGCCUACCAAGGCGGGGAUCCUUAGCUGGUCUGAGAGGAUGAUCAGCCACACUGGGACUGAGACACGGCCCAGGAUCCUACGGGAGGCAGCAGUGGGAUCUUGG